UACGUAGGGACCAAGCGUUGUUCGGAUUUACUGGGCGUAAAGGGCGCGUAGGCGGCUUGUCAAGUCACUUGUGAAAUCUCUGGGCUUAACCCAGAACGGCCAAGUGAAACUGUCAUGCUAGAGUGCAGAAGGGGCAAUCGGAAUUCUUGGUGUAGCGGUGAAAUGCGCAGAUAUCAGGAGGAACACCAGUGGCGAAGGCGCCGCUCUGGGCCGUAACUGACGCUGAGAAGCGAAAGCGUGGGUAGCAAACAGG
Molecule: ribosomal RNA, 253 nt
Filed under: uncultured bacterium
Lineage: Bacteria
Description: partial 16S ribosomal RNA
Rfam family: Bacterial small subunit ribosomal RNA
Source: RNAcentral